AGAGCGAACGCUGGCGGCAUGCUUAACACAUGCAAGUCGCACGGGCAGGGGAAACUCUGUCAGUGGCGGACGGGUGAGUAACGCGUAGGUAUCUGUCCAUGGGUGGGGGAUAACGGCGGGAAACUGCUGCUAAUACCGCAUGAUGCCCGAGGGCCAAAGGCGCGAGUCGCCUGUGGAGGAGCCUGCGUCCGAUUAGCUAGUUGGUGGGUAAAGGCCUACCAAGGCUAUGAUCGGUAGCUGGUCUGAGAGGAUGAUCAGCCACACUGGGACUGAGACACGGCCCAGACUCCUACGGAGGCAGCAGUGGGGAAUAUUGGACAAUGGGCGCAAGCCUGAUCCAGCAAUGCCGCGUGGUGAAGAAGGUCUUCGGAUUGUAAAGCCCUUUCGGCGGGGACGAUGAUGACGGUACCCGCAGAGAAGCCCCGGCUAACUUCGUGCCAGCAGCCGCGGUAA
RNAcentral lists this ribosomal RNA (453 nucleotides) under uncultured bacterium. RNAcentral's name for it is "SSU rRNA". It matches the Rfam family "Bacterial small subunit ribosomal RNA", at positions 26 to 523 of the family's 1533-position model. The record is from RNAcentral.